ACAACGGAGAGUUUGAUCCUGGCUCAGGAUGAACGCUAGCGACAGGCUUAACACAUGCAAGUCGAGGGGCAGCGGGGAGGAAAGCUUGCUUUUCUCCGCCGGCGACCGGCGCACGGGUGAGUAACACGUAUGCAACCUGCCUCAGACAGGGGGAUAAUCGGCGGAAACGCCGUCUAAUACCGCGUAAAAUCUCAGGGGACAUCCCUUGAGGUAGAAAGGCUUCGGCCGGUCUGAGAUGGGCAUGCGGCGCAUUAGUUAGUUGGCGGGGUAACGGCCCACCAAGACGACGAUGCGUAGGGGUUCUGAGAGGA
This 311-nucleotide ribosomal RNA is filed under the name Muribaculaceae bacterium. Its description in RNAcentral is "bacterial SSU rRNA". It matches the Rfam family "Bacterial small subunit ribosomal RNA", at positions 1 to 300 of the family's 1533-position model. Lineage: Bacteria; Pseudomonadati; Bacteroidota; Bacteroidia; Bacteroidales; Muribaculaceae. The record is from RNAcentral.